This 392-nucleotide ribosomal RNA is filed under the name Bacillus cereus. RNAcentral describes it as "bacterial SSU rRNA". It matches the Rfam family "Bacterial small subunit ribosomal RNA", at positions 555 to 946 of the family's 1533-position model. The record is from RNAcentral. Lineage: Bacteria; Bacillati; Bacillota; Bacilli; Caryophanales; Bacillaceae.
UGGGCGUAAGCGCGCGCAGGUGGUUUCUUAAGUCUGAUGUGAAAGCCCACGGCUCAACCGUGGAGGGUCAUUGGAAACUGGGAGACUUGAGUGCAGAAGAGGAAAGUGGAAUUCCAUGUGUAGCGGUGAAAUGCGUAGAGAUAUGGAGGAACACCAGUGGCGAAGGCGACUUUCUGGUCUGUAACUGACACUGAGGCGCGAAAGCGUGGGGAGCAAACAGGAUUAGAUACCCUGGUAGUCCACGCCGUAAACGAUGAGUGCUAAGUGUUAGAGGGUUUCCGCCCUUUAGUGCUGAAGUUAACGCAUUAAGCACUCCGCCUGGGGAGUACGGCCGCAAGGCUGAAACUCAAAGGAAUUGACGGGGGCCCGCACAAGCGGUGGAGCAUGUGGUU